This 439-nucleotide ribosomal RNA is filed under the name uncultured bacterium. Its description in RNAcentral is "partial 16S ribosomal RNA". It matches the Rfam family "Bacterial small subunit ribosomal RNA", at positions 339 to 795 of the family's 1533-position model. The record is from RNAcentral.
CCACGGGGGGCAGCAGUGAGGAAUAUUGCACAAUGGGGGGAACUCUGAUGCAGCAACGCCGCGUGGAGGAUGACACUUUUCGGAGCGUAAACUCCUUUUAUAUAGGAAGAAGAUGACGGUACUAUAUGAAUAAGCGCCGGCUAACUCCGUGCCAGCAGCCGCGGUAAUACGGAGGGCGCAAGCGUUACUCGGAAUCACUGGGCGUAAAGAGCGUGUAGGCGGAUUAAAAAGUCAGAAGUGAAAUCCUAUAGCUUAACUAUAGAACUGCUUCUGAAACUCUUAAUCUAGAAUAUGGGAGAGGUAGAUGGAAUUUCUGGUGUAGGGGUAAAAUCCGUAGAGAUCAGAAGGAAUACCGAUUGCGAAGGCGAUCUACUAGAACAUUAUUGACGCUGAGACGCGAAAGCGUGGGGAGCAAACAGGAUUAGAUACCCUGGUAGUC